CGGCCACACUGGAACUGAGACACGGUCCAGACUCCUACGGGAGGCAGCAGUGGGGAAUAUUGUGCAAUGGGGGAAACCCUGACACAGCGACGCCGCGUGAGCGAAGAAGGCCUUCGGGUCGUAAAGCUCAAUAGUAUGGGAAGAUAAUGACGGUACCAUACGAAAGCCCCGGCUAACUACGUGCCAGCAGCCGCGGUAAUACGUAGGGGGCGAGCGUUGU
RNAcentral lists this ribosomal RNA (220 nucleotides) under uncultured Thermoanaerobacterium sp. Its description in RNAcentral is "partial 16S ribosomal RNA". It matches the Rfam family "Bacterial small subunit ribosomal RNA", at positions 305 to 544 of the family's 1533-position model. The record is from RNAcentral. Lineage: Bacteria; Bacillati; Bacillota; Clostridia; Thermoanaerobacterales; Thermoanaerobacteraceae.